This 374-nucleotide ribosomal RNA is filed under the name uncultured Gaiellaceae bacterium. RNAcentral describes it as "bacterial SSU rRNA". It matches the Rfam family "Bacterial small subunit ribosomal RNA", at positions 524 to 896 of the family's 1533-position model. Lineage: Bacteria; Bacillati; Actinomycetota; Thermoleophilia; Gaiellales; Gaiellaceae. The record is from RNAcentral.
UACGUAGGGGGCAAGCGUUGUCCGGAUUUAUUGGGCGUAAAGAGCGUGUGGGCGGCCAGUCAGGUCCGUUGUGAAAACUCGAGGCUCAACCUCGAGACGCCGAUGGAAACCGACUGGCUAGAGUCCGGAAGAGGAGAGUGGAAUUCCCGGUGUAGCGGUGAAAUGCGCAGAUAUCGGGAAGAACACCCGUGGCUAAGGCGGCUCUCUAGUACGGUACUGACGCUGAGACGCGAAAGCGUGGGGAGCGAACAGGAUUAGAUACCCUGGUAGUCCACGCCGUAAACGAUGGGUGCUAGGUGUGGGGGGUGUCGACUCCCUCCGUGCCGAAGCUAACGCGUUAAGCACUCCGCCUGGGGAGUACGGCCGCAAGGCUA